UCAAUUAAAGAAAUCUGCCUAAGUUAAUACCAAAUGCUAGACAGCCCUAAGCUAUUUUUUUUUUUUGGUUUUUUAAAGUUCGUACUCUUGUAGAAUUUCACAACCAAAAUAAUAUGUUUAUAGAGUUUGUUAAACAAAGUGGUGACAAUAGGUGGACAAUCUGUUUGUGAUUAACACUGCUGCAGGGCUCUGAUGCCAAUUGCCUGUAGUUAUUAAAGCUCUCCAGAGCUGGUGGGGAGGGUGUUUGGCUCUGUGGGACUGACAGAUGUUGGACAAGGAGCUUACACUGAAACUGGAGGAUCAGGAACACUCCACCAAGUCCAUCGCCUGCCUGACGGCCACCGCCUGCCUAACCGAGCCCUGGUAAACCCUAAACCAGAUCAGCCAUAAGGAAUAGUUUUGCCAACUGCUUUACACACUCUUCAUUUCAUAUGGAUUCUUAAGUGAAAGUGUGGAAUGGGUAACCCAGACACGUUGUUGGUGCAGGGAUCCUUUAAGAUCCAACUUGACAAGUUUGGGGACCAAUAAGCUAA
Polyodon spathula (Mississippi paddlefish) is the source of this 533-nucleotide long non-coding RNA. RefSeq lists it as uncharacterized. The transcript is spliced from 3 exons. NCBI's taxonomy places the organism in Eukaryota, Metazoa, Chordata, Actinopteri, Acipenseriformes, Polyodontidae. The record is from RefSeq and is a predicted model, not a curated record.